RNAcentral lists this ribosomal RNA (780 nucleotides) under Triticum aestivum (bread wheat). Its description in RNAcentral is "partial small subunit ribosomal RNA". Lineage: Eukaryota; Viridiplantae; Streptophyta; Magnoliopsida; Poales; Poaceae. The record is from RNAcentral.
AUGAGAGAAACAUGGCUACAUCUCCGGUUUGUCCUAUUUGCAAUUUUGGCGGAGGAUACAUGGCGGCAUUCUUUGCUGGACUGUCGCAUGGCUCGAUGUGUUUGGGCACUGGGUGAUGAGGAAGUUCUGGAGCAUGCGAUUUCAAACCGAUCCGAUGACGCCCGUUUAUGGCUCUUCUCGCUUUUUGAUUCCUUGAACCAGCAAGAUCUUGCAAGAGUACUUGUCACACUUUGGGCUAUUUGGUGGGCUGCGCGGGUAUCUAGGAGAGUCCCGCCAUUUAUCCCAGUCCAGAGUACAUGCAAAUGGCUCCCUCCGGAAGGACUAGCAGCAAAGAUUAAUGCAGAUGGAGGGAUUUCGAGACAUGGCAAUAGGGGAGCAGCAGCAGUGAUAUGCAGAGACAGGGAUGGACACUUUUUGGACGCUUCGGCUGUGAUUUUUGAAGGGAUGAAUGAUCCAGCAUGCUUAGAGUCUAAUGCGUGCAAUGAAGCUCUUGCUCUGGCCCAGGAUCUUUCUUUGAGUAAUGUGGUAGUUGGUUCGGACUGUUUGGAAGUUAUCACCAGCAUUAACAGAGGCGCGUCAUCAACUUAUGCCAUGAUUUUAAAUGAGAUUAAGCACCGUAUGAUGGAUUUUGAGGAAGUCUGUUUUCGUUUUGAACCUCGGGAUUCUAAUUAUGAAGCUCAUAUGUUAGCUAAAGCCGCGUCCACCUUGCAAGUUGGACGGCAUUUGUGGCUAGGGACAGUUUCUGACAUUAUAUGUAUUCCUGAAACUUUGAUUGUUUGA